Molecule: ribosomal RNA, 394 nt
Filed under: uncultured Diversispora
Lineage: Eukaryota; Fungi; Glomeromycota; Glomeromycetes; Diversisporales; Diversisporaceae
Description: eukaryotic LSU rRNA
Source: RNAcentral
GUGAAAUUGUUGAAAGGGAAACGAUCGAAGUCAGUCAUGCUAGUGAAAAUUCAGUUUGGCGGGUCUCUGGUCUUUCGAUAGAGGCAGGGUUAAAGCGUUUCUUUUUUCGGACCAGGAUCUGUCAGAUGCACUUUUUCUUUGGCAGGUCAGCGUCGAUUUCGGGGGUUGUAAAAUACUUGGGGAAAAGUAGCUUUGGUUUCGGGAGAGUGUUAUAGACCUUGGGGGAUGCAGCCCGCGGGAUCGAGGAUUGCAGCAAAUGCCUUUGGCUUGUCGCCUGAUCUCUGGAUGUUACCUCGCUUGUAACAACAUUCUUGCUGCCGGUGAGUAUUAAUGCCCAUCAGGUUAGAGCGAUCAAAAAUUUCAUAAGGAUGCUGACGUAAUGGCUUUAAACGAC